UACGAAGGGGGCUAGCGUUGCUCGGAAUGACUGGGCGUAAAGGGCGCGUAGGCGGUUCAUACAGUCAGAUGUGAAAUUCCUGGGCUCAACCUGGGGGCUGCAUUUGAUACGUGUGGACUAGAGUGGGGAAGAGGGUCGUGGAAUUCCCAGUGUAGAGGUGAAAUUCGUAGAUAUUGGGAAGAACACCGGUGGCGAAGGCGGCGACCUGGUCCUUGACUGACGCUGAGGCGCGAAAGCUAGGGGAGCAAACAGG
Molecule: ribosomal RNA, 253 nt
Filed under: uncultured bacterium
Lineage: Bacteria
Description: partial 16S ribosomal RNA
Rfam family: Bacterial small subunit ribosomal RNA
Source: RNAcentral